GAUGAACGCUGGCGGCGUGCCUAAUACAUGCAAGUCGAGCGAACAGACGAGGAGCUUGCUCCUCUGACGUUAGCGGCGGACGGGUGAGUAACACGUGGAUAACCUACCUAUAAGACUGGGAUAACUUCGGGAAACCGGAGCUAAUACCGGAUAAUAUUUUGAACCGCAUGGUUCAAUAGUGAAAGACGGUUUUGCUGUCACUUAUAGAUGGAUCCGCGCCGCAUUAGCUAGUUGGUAAGGUAACGGCUUAUCAAGGCAACGAUGCGUAGCCGACCUGAGAGGGUGAUCGGCCACACUGGAACUGAGACACGGUCCAGACUCCUACGGGAGGCAGCAGUAGGGAAUCUUCCGCAAUGGGCGAAAGCCUGACGGAGCAACGCCGCGUGAGUGAUGAAGGUCUUCGGAUCGUAAAACUCUGUUAUUAGGGAAGAACAAAUGUGUAAGUAACUAUGCACGUCUUGACGGUACCUAAUCAGAAAGCCACGGCUAACUACGUG
Molecule: ribosomal RNA, 497 nt
Filed under: uncultured bacterium
Lineage: Bacteria
Description: partial 16S ribosomal RNA
Rfam family: Bacterial small subunit ribosomal RNA
Source: RNAcentral